AAUUACAAACCUUCAAUACCUUUCACCCAAGCUUGUGGUAAAUCAGAUUGAUUUUAGUCCAAUGGCCAUAGAGAAGGGGAUUGAGCAUUUAGAUUGAAGUCUCCAGAGGGACAAUAUACUAGUAAUUUCUUCAAAUGUCAUUUGAAAAGUAAUCUUGUGCGGUCAGCUCUGGUGUGCCAAAACACGUUAGGUAGUGGUAUAAAAUGAGCGGAACAAAAUCAAUAGAGUUUCCUCAGAAAGGUGUAAAACAGCACUACGAUACAGGCUCUGACGCGAGGAAACGUUUUUUAUUGAUGCGUCAAAAAAGACCAACCAGGGAAAAUUGUACAAUCAUUAUGAACUAAUCGGAUGUAUUUCUCAGGAAUAGUUAUAAACCUUGAAAGCAUCCUAGCCUGUAAGCAAUAAAGUCAAAAACACUUGGCCAAAGUGUUUUAAACCAACGUCUAGAUUGCAUAUAUCGGUAGUUGUCUAUUUGACUCAAUAUGACGAUCGCAAAUACAUGUAACUUCGUGGUUAGACCAGAUGGCUGUACUUCUAAAGGUUAAAAGGUCAUGGGGCGAUAAAGUUAAGUUACGAUCAAGAUGACCUUCACUAAGUGCCUAACACGUUUUUCUAGUAAUAUACACAAAUGGUAACCAUAUCAUUGCAUGGACAAUGAGAUUACAAGCGUUCUCCCAGACAUAUCUGCUGUGGUCAAAGAUUAUAGGUCAACCCAUGUCGGUCACCAAUACAGCUGAUUACGAACGUCCAUUCUGAUCAUUUUUUAAAGCCGAGCGUUCGAAUAAAGGCUGAUAUCUGACCCUGGUCGUAAUUUGGCCACUGUUAAUUGACUACUGACAGAGUCUAACAACUUGAGAGGGCACCUGCUAGGAUUCCCCUUAGGAAUCUGAACGAUUCCCAACACGAUAGUGUUCGAAGUGAUUAAUCGAGGACAGUAUUAGAUUGCAGGAGUUGGCCGUUCACCUACAGCAACGCUUCAUCGAGUUUCUUUUCAUAUAUAAUAUAAAAGCAAAGUACGAAUCCAGAGAUUUCGUUAUUCAUUUAACGACCCUGUGACAUCAGUGACAUUUGAGAGUGACCUAAACACCGGCACACAUGUAGUCCCUUCAAGGUUCUGAAUUGUAAAAGGAGUCACUGCUUACAUAAGCCUUUCAUGGCCUCAUGCGUUCUCCCGGGCACAGAGAGGAUAAGUAAGUAAGUAAGUACAUAAGCCUUUCAUGGCCUCAUGUGUCCUCCGGGGCACGGAGAGGAUAAGUUAGUAAGUACAUAAGCCUUUCAGUUCUUAUGAACAAAGAGUUCAUAGUUCACCAACAUUUAAAAGUUAUCUUGAACUGCAUGCUUAAUUGAUUCGAUCAUCAAUACAAUUAUAUCGGAGAAAAAAUAAGCUAAAGCUUUUAUUAAAUUUAGAGAAAUUUUUCACACCUCAUUUCAUUUCUCUACUGACAAGAGAUUGUAGACAAAGCUAAGGAUUAAAUCAAAUAUGUUGUUUCAGUAAAAAUAAUAUAAUGAUCACGUGUAAAUGAUAACAUGCAUGUAUGCUACAUUUUUGGCACUGUUUCAAUUAAUUUAAUUUCACCUCUUCAUUUAUAAUUUUUUAUUUAAUAGCUUUAACACCCAUUCAUGGUUACUAAAUGAAAAAUUUAUACCCAGCACAGCAAGAGGCGCGAAGCGAGGAUUAAUGGUAACACGUAUAUAUAAGAAACUCAGUGAAAAAUGAAAGUUGAAUUAGGGGUACUAAGGCCAAAAAAAAAUUCUUCUAACCCUGGGCGCCGCCAUAUUGGCAACCAUUUUGUUUUUAAAAAUUUAGUUCGAUCAUUGAUUGACUGGUACUUAUCGAUGUUUUUUGCCCCUAGCUAUAGACUCGAUUAAAUAAGUUCCAGUGUUUCAAUAGAAGGUGAUUUGAAUUAAAGAAAUUAAAAAGGAAACCAGAUAAGUUUAAAAAGUGUUUUAAUCAAGAAACAUGACUUGUUCUAUGUGUGUCUUAUCAAAUUAUCAGAUGGAAAAUAAAAACAUUAAUGUCAAGGAAUGAUCUCUAAGAUACUGAAUAAGGUAUUCAAUUUAUUACAGCGGCAUUCAUGUGAACUAAAAUUGAUGAACAACGAAAGAAGAAAUAUAAAAAAAAUCGAAAUCACGUAACUCUCUUCAGCUAUUUCCGAAGACAAAACUUUUAACGUUUUACGUCUGAAAUAUGACGUCAUAAUGUAGAAUGAGCACGCGACAUUUAGUUUAACUUUGAUGAAUGAUUUGAGUAGGCAACCAUGCAGAAGGAUCCUACUGUGUGCGUUUUAAAUAGAUUUUAUUAAAAGAAAAUCAAAUCUGCGCUCGGUCCAACGGUCACACCGUUUACAUAUUAUGUAUAAAUGCUACAUAUACAUGUAUUUAACUGCUCUCAUUGAAAACAGUCGAAUCUAAACAUUUUAAUUAACA
This is an RNA transcript of Magallana angulata, 2427 nucleotides long. It is a transcript of the gene named G-protein coupled receptor Mth-like, with no coding region annotated. NCBI's taxonomy places the organism in Eukaryota, Metazoa, Mollusca, Bivalvia, Ostreida, Ostreidae. The transcript has 3 exons. The record is from RefSeq and is a predicted model, not a curated record.